RNAcentral lists this ribosomal RNA (775 nucleotides) under uncultured Neocallimastigales. RNAcentral's name for it is "partial large subunit ribosomal RNA". It matches the Rfam family "Eukaryotic large subunit ribosomal RNA", at positions 24 to 620 of the family's 3401-position model. Lineage: Eukaryota; Fungi; Neocallimastigomycota; Neocallimastigomycetes; Neocallimastigales. The record is from RNAcentral.
UUAUGUGAUCGUCUCUCGCAUAUCAAUAAGCGGAGGAAAAGAAACUAACAAGGAUUCCCUUAGUAACGGCGAGUGAAGCGGGAAGAGCUCAAAUUUGAAAUCUUCAAGGUUUUACCUUGACGAAUUGUAGUUUAAAGAAGUGUUUUCUGUUGAAGUUUUGGUAAAAGUUCUUUGGAAUAGGACAUCAUAGAGGGUGAGAAUCCCGUAUUUGACCAUUAUUUUCAGCUGUGUGAUACACUUUCAAAGAGUCGGAUUGUUUGGGAAUGCAGUCCAAAAUGGGUGGUAAAUUUCAUCUAAAGCUAAAUAUUGGCGAGAGACCGAUAGCGAACAAGUACCGUGAGGGAAAGAUGAAAAGAACUUUGAAAAGAGAGUUAAACAGUACGUGAAAUUGUCAAAAGGGAAGCGUUUGACACCAGUGUUGUUUUCUCGAAAAUCAAUUAAAAAGAGUUAGAUUUUGUUGUGUAUUGACCUUAACAGCUUGCAUUUCAAUUUUCUUGCUUUUUUUAAUGCACUUUUCGUUUAACAAGUCAACAUCAGUUUCUUUUGUUGUAAAAAGGUCAUUGGAAGGUGGCUCUCUUUUCGGAGAAAGUGUUUAUAGCCUUUGACUCCUGCAAUCGGAGAGACUGAGGUCUGCAGCGUAGAUCCUUCGGGGUUAGAUACAUUUGUGCUAAGUUAUAGCUUUUUAUAGACAACUUGUUGACUAUGAUUAGUCUUGUAGCUUACUCGCUUAUGCUAUUUUACCUACGCUUAGGAUGUUGAAGAUGUAGCACAUCAU